RNAcentral lists this ribosomal RNA (1731 nucleotides) under Triticum aestivum (bread wheat). RNAcentral describes it as "partial small subunit ribosomal RNA". Lineage: Eukaryota; Viridiplantae; Streptophyta; Magnoliopsida; Poales; Poaceae. The record is from RNAcentral.
AUGAGCCAGCAAAUCCCAUCAACAGGUGUUGGUGGCUCAAGCACUGCCUCAAUAGCAGCACCUUCAUUCCCUCAAGUUGUUGAUUCGGAUGACCCUGCGUGGAAGUAUUGGACUCUUCCAGAUGUGAACAAGAAGCAUUGGCAGCGAUGCAACUAUUGUGGCAAGAUAUGCACAGCUGGCAUUACAAGGAUAAAGUUUCACCUUUCACAAAUAACGAAUUGUGGUGUCUUACCAUGCAAGAAGGUUCCUAGUGAUGUCAGGCUGGAGAUGAUAGCUUUGCUCCUAAAGAGUGUUGAGCUGAAGGAAAAAAAGAUCGAGGGAUUGGAGGCGCUCAGAUCUAGUGUUGACUUAGAUCACUCCGAUGAAGAACAAGAAACUGAUGAAGAAGAUGGCAAUCAGGUUGUGAUUUUGAGGUCAAAACCAGGCACAAGCAGCUCAAUGGGUGGCCCUAUGGACAAAUUCUGCAAGCCUAGUAUAGAAGAAACUGUCAAGAGGAAGCAAAAAAGAAAUUGUGAAUACGAAAAGGUUCAGUCGAAGGCCAUUGGAGAUGUUGGCAGAAACUCCGAUGGGCCUACUGCAUAUGAGAUGAGUGGACUAUUCUUGCAGAAAAGGAAGAAGAAGGUGUUAGAUUCAUUCAAACCACAUAAGCAAGCAUGGGAGCACACAGGUGUUACUAGGUUUGCCACGGCUUAUCUCAAUCUUAAAAGCUUGCAAGACAACAAGAAGGAAAUGCUUAAACUAUUCAGAUCAGAUGAGCUACAUGAAAUGGGUUACUUAGAGAAGGACAAGGGGAAGAUGGCUCACAAAACGGUGCAAUCGGAAGCCUUCUGGAAAGGUGUUGGCGUUGUUGUCAACUACUUUGAGCCAAUGGCUAAUGUGCUAAGAAUAAUGGAUAGUGAUGUGCCCGCAAUGGGAUUCUUAUAUGGUUGUAUGUUGGAUGCAAAAAAGGAAAUUGUUGCGAGUUUUGAUAAUGAUGAGAGUCGCUUCAAAUGUGUUAUUGAUAUCAUUGACAAGAGAUGGGACAGAAAACUCAAGUCGCCACUACAUUUGGUUGGGUACUUUCUGAAACCCUACUAUUAUUAUCCAAACAAGGUUGUGAUAGAGAGGGAUGGAUCAUUUACAAUAGUCAUGGUCCAUUGCAUCACAAGGAUGAUUAAAGAUCAAAAAACUCAAGAUGAGCUUAUUGAUGAACUCGACAAAUACGAGGCGGAGGAAGAUUCCUUUGGAAUGGACAUUGCUGUACGACAGAGAAAAAUCAAGAUGGUGGCUAAAUUAUGGCACAUGUGCACCCCUGUUGAAGGACUUGGCAAUGAAGAUUUUGAGUUUGACAUCAGGCUACUCCAUGAUAGGAUGAGUGAUCUUGUAUUUAUCAAGUUCAACACUAGGAUGAAGCAUAAGAGAGAGAACAAGAGUAGAGACCCAAUAGAGAAGACAAUCGUUGAUGUUCUUGAAGACGAGGAUAACGAGUUCAUCACCGGCAUUGUUGGAAAUGAUAAUGUUCUUGAACAUGUUGGUGAUGAAGAUCAAACUCAACAAGAGAGAGCUUCAACUUCACAAGAACAAGGGAAAAAGAAGAAGAGGCCUACUGCGCCCCCUAGAAAGAAGAUGAAUAAGAGCUUGCAAUCUCUCCUUAAUAGUGUCAAUGAGGAAGCUAUACUUUCUGCCUCUUCCAAUUCUUGUUCGUCAGAAUCAGAAGAUGAGUCUCCCUCGGCCCUUGCUGACAAGGAUUAA